ACGGGGGGGGCAAGCGUUGUUCGGAAUUACUGGGCGUAAAGGGCGCGUAGGCGGCCUGCUAAGUCACACGUGAAAUCCCUCGGCUCAACCGGGGAACUGCGUGUGAUACUGGCGGGCUUGAAUUCGGGAGAGGUGAGUGGAAUUCCCAGUGUAGCGGUGAAAUGCGUAGAUAUUGGGAGGAACACCAGUGGCGAAGGCGGCUCACUGGACCGGAACUGACGCUGAGGCGCGAAAGCGUGGGGAGCAAACAGGA
RNAcentral lists this ribosomal RNA (253 nucleotides) under uncultured prokaryote. RNAcentral's name for it is "partial 16S ribosomal RNA". It matches the Rfam family "Bacterial small subunit ribosomal RNA", at positions 525 to 777 of the family's 1533-position model. The record is from RNAcentral.